GUCAGGAACACCAGGAGCUUUGACAACUGAAGUGGCUCCAGGCUUUACUCUGACUGGGGGUACCUUCGGUACAUCUUUCUUCUGUGUUUUCAAAGCUAGGGUGCAACGAGAAGAGUCAACAAUCAACUAAUUUCACAGGAAGCCAUCUCCAAAUAUCAUUCACUGAAGCCAAGGAUUGACAAGCUAGGGGAAUGGGAUUCCUAACCUCGAAGGACUGAAGCAGUCAACACAUCGAUACACAAGGAAUCAGAAGUUCAAAUAACAAUCCCAUAUCAUCAUUUUGACCAACAAGUCCCGAUUUCUGAGGGCAUGAUUGGGAACAUGGAGAAUGCGAUAGAUGAGUACUUUGAAUUCGACCGGUGCCUUUUGUUUACAAACUACGUAAGUCUCAGAUAAAAUGGUGCAAAUUCAAGAACAUUUGAAAAUAGUUAUUUUAAUAGUAUUAGGAAAUGAAAUCCUUCGGAAUUAUUACAACUGAAUGUCCAUUAUAGUUUAAUGAAGCAACAUCAAAAUAAGCUAAAGGAGAAAGAAAUUAAUUACUUAAGCCGGUAAAAUGUUACAGACGAGAACCAAUUCUAUUAUUGUAUUUUAAUAAAAAAUAUUCACUACCUAAAAAAACAUCGAUUGCACUGACAACAACAAACAGGAAACUGAUAUAUGAUAAUGCAAUUAUGUAGUAAAUAUGUAUGUAUGUGAUAUGUAAAGUAACAUGCGUGAACGCAGUACUUAAAUAAACAGAACGUGGAUGAACCAAAAUGAAUGUCGAUUUGGUAAUG
Diachasmimorpha longicaudata is the source of this 776-nucleotide long non-coding RNA. RefSeq lists it as uncharacterized. The record is from RefSeq and is a predicted model, not a curated record. The transcript is spliced from 3 exons. NCBI's taxonomy places the organism in Eukaryota, Metazoa, Arthropoda, Insecta, Hymenoptera, Braconidae.